AUGGCGGCCGCACCGACCAACUCGUGGUGUGGCGAGGACCGCCUGAGCGACCUCCCCGAGGACGUCCUCGGCAUCAUCCUCUCCUACCUCCCCGCCAAAGAGGUCGCCCGCGCCGCCGUGCUCGCCAGGAGCUGGCGCCACUCCUUCGCCACCGUUGAGGCCAUGUCCUUCGUCCAGGACAAGGCCCACGACAAGGACGACCGCAGCUUCACCGCGCAAUCCCAGGAGAAGCGCAGCAAGAACGGGGACUUCAUCGAUGAGGUCAACGCCGCGCUCCUCUGCCGCCGCCGCUGCGGCGCCCGCACGGCGCCGCGCGCCUUCCGCGUCAACUUCGGCUGCUACACGCACUGGGACUCUGCCGUGUUGAACCGGUGGCUCUACCACGUGCUUAAACGCAGCAGCAAGGAGCUCCACCUCGACCUGCGCCUCCAGCACACCGACCUCGCCGAGCACCACGUCAAGGAACCAUACAAUGGCGAAGGCGACCGCGAUUGCGACGACCCCCGCGCCAACGACCCGGCCGACGACAGGUGCCCCGCGAGCUACUCCUAUCAGUCCUAUCGCGCAGAUGAGUACGCGCUUACACGAAGCCUCUUCUCGUGCGUCGUCAUACGGACGCUCUGUCUCGGCGCCUGCACGUUGGAGCCGCCCGAGCGCAUUGAGCUGCCUUUCCUCGAGACACUGUUCCUAAGCACCAUCAGGAGCACCGGCGGCAACAUCCAACGUCUCAUCUCCGGUUGCCCGCGCCUCAUCGACCUCACCCUCGAGCGGUGCGGCUACACAAACAAAAGUCACAAGGACCCUCUCCCCGACAAAAAUUUCACCAUCACUGUCCUGGAUAAGCAUCUCCGCAGAUUCUCCCUAAGGUGCUGCCACAACCUGGUCCGAGCGAGCAUUGAUGUGUCCGAGCUGAGGACGUUCGAGUACAGGGGCGACGUGCCGUCGGAGUCGCUCCUCACACUCCACGGCGCGCACAAGAUCUCUUCGUGCACCAUCGGUUUCUGCGGCAGGAAAGUUUACAAGGGUGAGUUGCCCCUGCUCAGAAGCUUCCUCGAGCAGUUUACCGGCACAAGACAUCUGCAUCUCGUGUCUACUCAUCUCGGUUCAGGCAUCGGGAGUGAGUUUUUCUCGGGAUUCCCCUACUUUCCGAGCCUCGUGCGGCUUGAGCUGACAGGAUACCUUGGAGGACGCAGCAUCAAGGCGGUGACUAGGAUACUUGAAGUUGCUCCAAGCAUUGAGAUUUUGUCUCUAUUCAUGAAGCCAGGUUAUGAGGACAGAUAUCACACCGGAUACUUCUGGAGGCAACAGCAAGAGCUCAUCAGUGAACCGGCUCUAGAUGUUUCGAUCCCGUGCUUGCGAAAUCGGCUGAGGAGUAUCAACCUCGUGCACUACCAGGGCGACAACCGACACAAAUAUCUAGCCAACCUGCUGCUUUGUAAUGGGAUGGUUCUGGAACAAGUGUGUGUUGCCUUUCCAAGGGGUGAACACAAGUUGCAGACUAGACUCAAGAAGGAAAUCGAAGGAUGGUUGGUGAAUAAAUCAGCAAAAGUGAUAUUCUUGUAA
This 1563-nucleotide ribosomal RNA is filed under the name Triticum aestivum (bread wheat). RNAcentral describes it as "partial small subunit ribosomal RNA". Lineage: Eukaryota; Viridiplantae; Streptophyta; Magnoliopsida; Poales; Poaceae. The record is from RNAcentral.